Molecule: non-coding RNA, 261 nt
Organism: Parasteatoda tepidariorum (common house spider)
Lineage: Eukaryota; Metazoa; Arthropoda; Arachnida; Araneae; Theridiidae
Source: RefSeq, a predicted model, not a curated record
AGUGAAAGUAAAGAAAUUUCCGAUUUCAACCAACAACUAGUUUUAAAGGGACCAAUUUAGCAAAGUUGUGUCUAUUUAGAAGCAACACAACUUUGCAUAGCUUGACAGUUUGCUUAGCUAGAAGCUGACUAGAAGUUGCUGUUGCUAGAAGCAAAAGUUUGAAGUGGGAACUUUAUGAAAGAAAGGAGAAAGUCAUGGCUGACAGUGAAGUGGUCCUAAAUACACCAGGUGGUCAUUUAGCAAAUGUAAAUAAUAGUGGUU